This 467-nucleotide ribosomal RNA is filed under the name uncultured bacterium. RNAcentral describes it as "bacterial SSU rRNA". It matches the Rfam family "Bacterial small subunit ribosomal RNA", at positions 339 to 797 of the family's 1533-position model. The record is from RNAcentral.
AUACGGAAGGCAGCAGUGAGGAAUUGUUCGCAAUGGGCGCAAGCCUGACGACGCAACGCCGCGUGGAGGACGAAGAUCUUCGGAUCGUAAACUCCUGUCGAGCGGGACGAACGGCCCCGGACCUAAUACGUCCGGGGAGUGACGGUACCGCGCGAGGAAGCCCCGGCUAACUCCGUGCCAGCAGCCGCGGUAAUACGGGGGGGGCAAGCGUUGUUCGGAAUUACUGGGCGUAAAGGGCUCGUAGGCGGCCUUGUUAGUCGGACGUGAAAUCCCUCGGCUUAACCGGGGAACUGCGUCCGAUACUGCGAGGCUUGAAUCCGGGAGAGGGAUGCGGAAUUCCAGGUGUAGCGGUGAAAUGCGUAGAUAUCUGGAGGAACACCGGUGGCGAAGGCGGCAUCCUGGACCGGUAUUGACGCUGAGGAGCGAAAGCCAGGGGAGCAAACGGGAUUAGAUACCCGCGUAGUCCG